RNAcentral lists this ribosomal RNA (464 nucleotides) under uncultured bacterium. RNAcentral's name for it is "partial 16S ribosomal RNA". It matches the Rfam family "Bacterial small subunit ribosomal RNA", at positions 355 to 813 of the family's 1533-position model. The record is from RNAcentral.
UGGGGAAUUUUGGACAAUGGGCGAAAGCCUGAUCCAGCAAUGCCGCGUGUGUGAAGAAGGCCUUCGGGUUGUAAAGCACUUUGUCCGGAAAGAAAUCCUUGGCUCUAAUACAGUCGGGGGAUGACGGUACCGGAAGAAUAAGCACCGGCUAACUACGUGCCAGCAGCCGCGGUAAUACGUAGGGUGCAAGCGUUAAUCGGAAUUACUGGGCGUAAAGCGUGCGCAGGCGGUUUGCUAAGACCGAUGUGAAAUCCCCGGGCUCAACCUGGGAACUGCAUGGUGACUGGCAGGCUAGAGUAUGGCAGAGGGGGGUAGAAUUCCACGUGUAGCAGUGAAAUGCGUAGAGAUGUGGAGGAAUACCGAUGGCGAAGGCAGCCCCCUGGGCCAAUACUGACGCUCAUGCACGAAAGCGUGGGGAGCAAACAGGAUUAGAUACCCUGGUAGUCCACGCCCUAAACGAUGUC